UAUGAGUAUGACUACAGAGUCUCUAGGUAUCCCCUUCGUCGUCCUCCUGCGGAACGGGCUCGGGAACCAUGUCUUCCUGAUCUGAAAUGGUUAAAUAAGGAGUGAGCUACACUAGCCCAGUAAGAACAUCACGAUAUCUCACCGUCACGGAGGUAAAGGUGGGUAGAAAAACACAAAAAGACCAAUGGAGCACAAUUUACAAUAAACUCGUUUAUUAACAUGAAAACCUUUACCAUCCACUUACCUUGGUGGAAUUUAUGAAAACAAUAUGAGAAAAACAAUAACAUCAUCAUAAUCAUUGAAUAAUCUAAGCUGUAAAACAUAACACUUAUCACGCCUCUUGUAAUUCAAUC
RNAcentral lists this long non-coding RNA (353 nucleotides) under Carica papaya (papaya). Its description in RNAcentral is "long non-coding RNA (CPAP_LNC009926)". Lineage: Eukaryota; Viridiplantae; Streptophyta; Magnoliopsida; Brassicales; Caricaceae. The record is from RNAcentral.